UACGAGUGCCCCGAGCGUUAUCCGGAAUUAUUGGGCGUAAAGGGUGUGUAGGCGGUUGUGUUAGUCUUCCGUUAAAUUCUUCGGCUCAACCGGGGGCAUGCGGGGGAAACGGCACGACUAGAGGAUGCGAGAGGUCUGUGGAACUCUAGGUGUAGGGGUGAAAUCCGUUGAUAUCUAGGGGAACACCAAAAGCGAAGGCAGCAGACUGGCGCAUUCCUGACGCUGAAACACGAAAGCGUGGGUAGCGAAUGGG
RNAcentral lists this ribosomal RNA (253 nucleotides) under uncultured bacterium. Its description in RNAcentral is "partial 16S ribosomal RNA". It matches the Rfam family "Bacterial small subunit ribosomal RNA", at positions 524 to 776 of the family's 1533-position model. The record is from RNAcentral.